Capra hircus (goat) is the source of this 579-nucleotide long non-coding RNA. RefSeq lists it as uncharacterized. NCBI's taxonomy places the organism in Eukaryota, Metazoa, Chordata, Mammalia, Artiodactyla, Bovidae. The record is from RefSeq and is a predicted model, not a curated record. The transcript is spliced from 2 exons.
CCGGAUCCUUAUAAAAGGGGUCUCCAUCACAGUGCUGUCAUUGUCGUGACGGUUAUAGGUCUUCUUUGGAGCCUCAGAUUCCUUGAGACCCAAGAAAGAUGUCUCACCACCAGCAUCCACAUCCGCAUCAGCAUCAGCAUCACCAUCAGUGCAAGGAGCCCUGCCAUCCACCUCCAAUAGUGUGUCCACUGAAGUGCCAUGAACCGUGCCCACCUCACCCAUGCCCACCUCCAGUGAGCCAGCAGAAAUGCCCUCCUGGACCACCAUGCCCACCAUGCAAGCAGAAGUGUCCACCCAAGUGGAAGUAACAGCACCAUGUUCCAGGCUCUUCCACUGUCCUCCCUUCGGCCAUGGUGACGGAGUGCAUCUUCCUUAAUCUCCCUCCUCAACCGACAGCUGACAGAGUAAAGGCAUGGUUGCUGAAGGUGACACCACGUUGUUGGAAGAAGUGCAGCAGGAUCAUUGCUUGAUCUUUCUGUGCCGUGUGCCCGUCUGUAAUCUGCGUUGUGUUCUCUACCCCAUGAGCACUUAGUGUGUCUAUUCCUUGCUUCUCCAAUAAAGCAUAUUCGUAGCCCAUUA